This 853-nucleotide ribosomal RNA is filed under the name uncultured bacterium. RNAcentral's name for it is "bacterial SSU rRNA". It matches the Rfam family "Bacterial small subunit ribosomal RNA", at positions 28 to 897 of the family's 1533-position model. The record is from RNAcentral.
GACGAACGCUGGCGGCGUGCUUAACACAUGCAAGUCGAGCGGUAAGGCCUUUCGGGGUACACGAGCGGCGAACGGGUGAGUAACACGUGGGUGAUCUGCCCUGCACUUCGGGAUAAGCCUGGGAAACUGGGUCUAAUACCGGAUAUGACCUCCUAUCGCAUGGUGGGUGGUGGAAAGAUUUAUCGGUGCAGGAUGGGCCCGCGGCCUAUCAGCUUGUUGGUGGGGUAAUGGCCUACCAAGGCGACGACGAGUAGCCGACCUGAGAGGGUGACCGGCCACACUGGGACUGAGACACGGCCCAGACUCCUACGGGAGGCAGCAGUGGGGAAUAUUGCACAAUGGGCGAAAGCCUGAUGCAGCGACGCCGCGUGAGGGAUGACGGCCUUCGGGUUGCAAACCUCUUUCAGCAGGGACGAAGCGCAAGUGACGGUACCUGCAGAAGAAGCACCGGCUAACUACGUGCCAGCAGCCGCGGUAAUACGUAGGGUGCAAGCGUUGUCCGGAAUUACUGGGCGUAAAGAGUUCGUAGGCGGUUUGUCGCGUCGUUUGUGAAAACCAGCAGCUCAACUGCUGGCUUGCAGGCGAUACGGGCAGACUUGAGUACUGCAGGGGAGACUGGAAUUCCUGGUGUAGCGGUGAAAUGCGCAGAUAUCAGGAGGAACACCGGUGGCGAAGGCGGGUCUCUGGGCAGUAACUGACGCUGAGGAACGAAAGCGUGGGUAGCGAACAGGAUUAGAUACCCUGGUAGUCCACGCCGUAAACGGUGGGCGCUAGGUGUGGGUUCCUUCCACGGAAUCCGUGCCGUAGCUAACGCAUUAAGCGCCCCGCCUGGGGAGUACGGCCGCAAGGCUAA